RNAcentral lists this transfer RNA (73 nucleotides) under Blattella germanica (German cockroach). Its description in RNAcentral is "tRNA-Val (TAC) (tRNA-Val-TAC-11-1, tRNA-Val-TAC-11-2)". It matches the Rfam family "tRNA". From Rfam's summary of the family: Transfer RNA (tRNA) molecules are approximately 80 nucleotides in length. Their secondary structure includes four short double-helical elements and three loops (D, anti-codon, and T loops). Further hydrogen bonds mediate the characteristic L-shaped molecular structure. tRNAs have two regions of fundamental functional importance: the anti-codon, which is responsible for specific mRNA codon recognition, and the 3' end, to which the tRNAs corresponding amino acid is attached (by aminoacyl-tRNA synthetases). tRNAs cope with the degeneracy of the genetic code in two manners: having more than one tRNA (with a specific anti-codon) for a particular amino acid; and 'wobble' base-pairing, i.e. permitting non-standard base-pairing at the 3rd anti-codon position. Lineage: Eukaryota; Metazoa; Arthropoda; Insecta; Blattodea; Blattellidae. The record is from RNAcentral.
GUUUCUGUGGUGUAGUGGUUAUCACAUCCGCUUUACACGCGGAAGGUUCCCAGUUCGAUCCCGGGCGGAAACA